UACGUAGGUGGCAAGUGUUGUCCGGAUUUACUGGGUGUAAAGGGCGCGUAGGCGGGCUCGUAAGUCAGACGUGAAAUACCGGGGCUCAACCCCGGGGCUGCGUUUGAAACUGCGAGUCUUGAGUGCCGGAGAGGAAAGCGGAAUUCCUAGUGUAGCGGUGAAGUGCGUAGAUAUUAGGAGGAACACCAGUGGCGAAGGCGGCUUUCUGGACGGUAACUGACGCUGAGGCGCGAAAGCGUGGGGAGCAAACAGG
RNAcentral lists this ribosomal RNA (253 nucleotides) under uncultured bacterium. RNAcentral describes it as "partial 16S ribosomal RNA". It matches the Rfam family "Bacterial small subunit ribosomal RNA", at positions 524 to 776 of the family's 1533-position model. The record is from RNAcentral.